This 503-nucleotide ribosomal RNA is filed under the name uncultured Desulfobulbus sp. RNAcentral describes it as "bacterial SSU rRNA". It matches the Rfam family "Bacterial small subunit ribosomal RNA", at positions 903 to 1382 of the family's 1533-position model. Lineage: Bacteria; Pseudomonadati; Thermodesulfobacteriota; Desulfobulbia; Desulfobulbales; Desulfobulbaceae. The record is from RNAcentral.
GCCAGCCCGCUCAGAACUUAAAUGAAUUGACGGGGCCCGCACAAGCGGUGGAGUAUGUGGUUUAAUUCGAUGCAACGCGAAGAACCUUACCUGGUCUUGACAUCCCGGAGACCCUUAGGAAACUAGGGGGUGCUUCCAUCUGGAAGAAUCUGGAGACAGGUGCUGCAUGGCUGUCGUCAGCUUGUGUCGUGAGAUGUUGGGUUAAGUCCCGCAACGAGCGCAACCCUUGCCUUUAGUUGCCAGCAGUUCGGCUGGGCACUCUAAAGGGACUGCCGGUGUUAAACCGGAGGAAGGUGGGGAUGACGUCAAGUCCUCAUGGCCUUUAUGACCAGGGCUACACACGUACUACAAUGGCCGAUACAAAGGGCAGCGACACUGCGAGGUGAAGCCAAUCCCGUAAAAUCGGUCUCAGUCCGGAUUGGAGUCUGCAACUCGACUCCAUGAAGUUGGAAUCGCUAGUAAUCGUGGAUCAGCAUGCCACGGUGAAUACGUUCCCGGGCCUU